GCAUUUCCAGAGCUUAGCAGAUAAGGAGGAGCUUAGUGAUUGUCGGCAGGAACAAAUAAAUGGGUUGCAGUGACAUCAGAAGAAACCAGUGCAAGAAGAGAAUGAGAUUGGCUUCCAAAUAUUGGUCAAGAGCUUUAAGUAGGAUGAGCCAAGGAUGUCUGAAUUGCCUAUAUUUCCACGACCAGGUGACUUUCCUGGGUCUAGAAUUCUGAGGAGGUGACGAGGUAACAAACCGUAGUCUUCCUGUAAGGAAAGAGUUAAAGGCGUUUGCACCUGGGCUUCUGAGGGGACGAUGUGUUCAUUAGGGGCACCUGCCUGGGCCACCAACCUGCAGGCCGCACUGCACCCCCACACCGCGGAGGGCGGACACUGGGCUUUCCAGCCUUGCUUAGUGUGCUUGACCAAAGGUGACAAUGACUUAGGGGGCUAAGGUCGUGUCCUCCCCCCUUCCAAAUCAAUAAUUUAAUGUGACUUAUCAGAAAGAGAAAAAGCUGUUUACUUUAAAGCUCUGGAUUCCAUAAAGGGAGAGAGACAAGGCCUAAAACCUGCAGAAGCUCAGGGCUCAGGCCCACGGCCGCUCCGUGUAACUCAGGGCGCCUGGGAGGCACCGCCCCACCGGCCAGCAGAGGGCCUGGGCUGCGAGACUCGAGCUGCCUGGAAGUCUUUGGCAGACUCCUGGAAGGUUGCAGCACCCACCUGGAGAAGUGGAGGGGCUACUCACACGCUGCUCUCAGGUGCUGUCACUACACACAGCUGGCGAGGCUCCCUGGUGAUCCGCCACAGCAGAAUGUGCAGGUGAAGUUACCACCUUCCCAGCUGCAGACGUCCCUUAGCAGAGCUGUGGAGUGUGACAAUGGUGUUUGUGUCCAAGCUGUCAAACGCCAUUAUCACACUAAAUAGCUACUGUUAGGCAAUCCUUCCACUCAGUACAUGCCUUGGCACCUGUUCGGUGUGGGCAAGAAGACUCGGCUUACAGCAGUGUCCCAGGCCGGUGUGACUACUGAAUAAGUUCCAGUCCUUCUGUGCUCAGGCCCAGCAUGUCAUCUGAGCUGUGCCUCUUGCACGCUGUUGUUCAAUCUUUAAACUGAUGACGAGUGUUCUUCCUUUCCUGACUCGGUAAGAGGACUGCAGUGUAUCCCAAAGUACCAAAGCACAAGGCGAGGUGUGUGGUAAUCAAUCAACCCAUGCUUGCUGAGUUGAAAGGAGCAGUUCACAAAUGUUAGACACAGAAAACGAAAACUGGGUUAAAGCUAAGUUUUGUAAACCACAGGUUUAUAGGUGCAGUAUCAAGGUAUGUGUGUCUUGCCCUUUUCAUCACUAAACAACUUUCUAAUAAACUCACAGAUGCCUUAACUGACUGUUCAGAAAUUCAAUAACAUGUUUGAUUUCUACUGAUUGUAAUCCAUUACCAGGCUGAUUACUGAAUUUGUAUUCUAGGCUCUUCUUCCUUGUGUUUCAGCCAGUUAUCAUCAGGAAAUUGUAAAUGAGUUAUGUGUGAGUUUCCUUAGCAAAUCUGAGCACGUUAAACCCAAGCAGCUUCUGGGACAAUUGGAGCAGCUGGGUGGUCUCGUCUGAAACACAGUCUUUCUCUGAGAGGCAUUUAAAGUAAGGAUCAGGUUCUAUUCGUGCAGGGCUACAGCUUCUCUGUCAUGACUUGGCUAAGUGAACCAGGGCAUGUUAAAUCAAAUGGAAAGGAUCGGAGCCACCACCAGAAACAAUGUGUUCGAUCACCAGCCAUUCAUUUAUCAGAAAAAUAUGUGUGGAGUGGCUUGAGGGAUAAAUUACACAUGUCUGACAUUUCCAGAAAUGGUGCUUACUGGCUCAUAAUCAGUGUGGGGCCAUUCUGAUUGUUCACUGAUGUGUAUGAGCCAAUCAGCAAAACUGUGUAAAACCAUUCCAAGUCCCUUGCUGGGAAAGCACCCCUUGGGAGCAGUCCACAUGCCUGUGAUACACGGCCAACACCCAAGGUCAGAGGCUUCCAUCCAAAGAAAAGAAGACCCAUCCUGCCGGCCCUGCAUCUCCUCCCACCUCAGCAACGUCAAGCAGAGAACCAGAUCCCCUGAAAUCAUUCAUACACCAGCAUUCCCUUUUUGUGGGGUGUUUGUUUGUUUGUGAAAGCACUAAUAGAACGAGCAUUGGUACAGGGCUCUGCUAUUCAAAUCGCUCCCUCGCACACGAUUUCAUUUGGCCCAUUCAACAUGGGCAAAGAUGGUAUUUACAGUUUGGGCCCCUUCCCCACCCAGGCAGUGAACGGAGGCUGAGAAUGGUUGUGGAGUCGUCUGGUUGUGCUACUGGGGCUCAGCCGGGGUGUCCCGACUCUGAUGCCUUCUCCAUGCCACUUUCCUCGGCCUGGUUAUUCCACACACCCCCGGCUCCCCCGCCUAGGCCACGUCGAAGCCGGGUUCAUCGUGCCGGUGUGGGAUCAGUAUCCUCAGCCCUGCCGUCUGCUUUGCCAAUGUGUUCUGCGGCCAGCCUGCAGAAUGAGAGGAGAUGAGUGAGCCACAUGGGACAGGCUCUCCGUGUGAGUGUUCACAACGCAGAAAAAGCCACGUGCAGGGAAGCACCAGAAUGACGAAGCGGAAGGGACGAGAAGGGAAGGACGUCUCACUGGUGGCUUGGGGUUCGGAAGGGGUGACCAACUAUCCGGCUAUAGAUUGGCCAACUCAGUGAGCCAGCCAGCUGAUGUGACAAUGAUUAACCCAGAGCCUUUGGGUCCCAAACAGCUCCCAGGCUCAGGGACAGUGCCAAGCUGGCCUCACAUAUUCCUCCUCCCCACUUGCCCUGAGGUUUUGCUCAAAUGGAAUUAAACAGGGAGAAAAGGAAGGGCAUUUCUGCAUCUUUUCUGUGGCUCACCUCACACAGCGCCUAAUAUUAUGAUUCCUGCCUGGGUCAGCUCCGCAUGCGAGUUGGGGGCCUGGUUCUUUGUGUAGAACUCUAAGGGCCACACACAGAGGACAAAGCGCCCGCUCCCCACUGUAGAGCCAGGGCUACACACUCCAGCUGCUCCGAUCUCUGAUGACAGCAUCCUUCCCCAGCCCCCCUUUCACGGCUCCCACUGUCUCCCAGGACGACUCUUGCCGGUCCUCUCCCGGAAGGUAUCCCUGACUCCCAGUGCCGCCUGCAGGGCGAAGGGGCCCAGUUGGAAGUGCAGUUAAACUUGCAGUGGAGCUGGGAGGCAGCAGAGAAACGAGCGGCCUCUUCCCCGGGAGACGGCCUCCCUUCACUUUGUGAGUCACAUCUGCGAGGCCCUCCAAGUCCUUUCAUCUGAGGACUCUGCAUACCUCAAACAUGACAGUUGCCACUUAGCGCCAGCCCCAGAGGAGGUCUGUGAAAUAGCAUAGCAGCUGUCAUAUACAGAUGGCUCAUUGCUACAUUUUUCUGGACUGUUAUUAAACCUGUAUUUUGUACUCAGUGUAGUUCCUCAAAUCAGGAGACAGUGGACUGUUAGGACGGAAAACCAGACCCCUUGUCCUGGGGAGGAAAUUGCAGCCCUGAAAGGUUGAGGAGGCGGCCCAGGGUGGUUCAGUGAGUCUGCGGCCCAGCUCGACCCCACAGCCAGGCUUCCGGGCUCUGCCACUUCCUCCCUGUGGCGUCCUGUCGUUGUCACCGGCCGAGAGUAGACGCCAAGAGUAGAGGAGUCAAGCAGUACUUGCUGAAGGAGCGGCUGGAUGCCAUGUAAAGUCCCCUCCCUUUUCAGCCAUCUGAGAACUGUUGCCUUCGGCUUUCAGAGGGAUGCCCCUUCUUUGCCAUUUUAGAAUUCAGC
Artibeus jamaicensis (Jamaican fruit-eating bat) is the source of this 3763-nucleotide long non-coding RNA. RefSeq lists it as uncharacterized. The record is from RefSeq and is a predicted model, not a curated record. Lineage: Eukaryota; Metazoa; Chordata; Mammalia; Chiroptera; Phyllostomidae. The transcript has 3 exons.